RNAcentral lists this ribosomal RNA (1369 nucleotides) under uncultured bacterium. RNAcentral describes it as "bacterial SSU rRNA". It matches the Rfam family "Bacterial small subunit ribosomal RNA", at positions 28 to 1381 of the family's 1533-position model. The record is from RNAcentral.
GACGAACGCUGGCGGCGUGCCUAAUACAUGCAAGUAGAACGCUGAAGAGAGGAGCUUGCUCUUCUUGGAUGAGUUGCGAACGGGUGAGUAACGCGUAGGUAACCUGCCUUGUAGCGGGGGAUAACUAUUGGAAACGAUAGCUAAUACCGCAUAACAAUGGAUGACACAUGUCAUUUAUUUGAAAGGGGCAAUUGCUCCACUACAAGAUGGACCUGCGUUGUAUUAGCUAGUAGGUGAGGUAACGGCUCACCUAGGCGACGAUACAUAGCCGACCUGAGAGGGUGAUCGGCCACACUGGGACUGAGACACGGCCCAGACUCCUACGGGAGGCAGCAGUAGGGAAUCUUCGGCAAUGGGGGCAACCCUGACCGAGCAACGCCGCGUGAGUGAAGAAGGUUUUCGGAUCGUAAAGCUCUGUUGUAAGUCAAGAACGAGUGUGAGAGUGGAAAAUUCACACUGUGACGGUAGCUUACCAGAAAGGGACGGCUAACUACGUGCCAGCAGCCGCGGUAAUACGUAGGUCCCGAGCGUUGUCCGGAUUUAUUGGGCGUAAAGCGAGCGCAGGCGGUUUGAUAAGUCUGAAGUUAAAGGCUGUGGCUCAACCAUAGUUCGCUUUGGAAACUGUCAAACUUGAGUGCAGAAGGGGAGAGUGGAAUUCCAUGUGUAGCGGUGAAAUGCGUAGAUAUAUGGAGGAACACCGGUGGCGAAAGCGGCUCUCUGGUCUGUAACUGACGCUGAGGCUCGAAAGCGUGGGGAGCGAACAGGAUUAGAUACCCUGGUAGUCCACGCCGUAAACGAUGAGUGCUAGGUGUUGGAUCCUUUCCGGGAUUCAGUGCCGCAGCUAACGCAUUAAGCACUCCGCCUGGGGAGUACGACCGCAAGGUUGAAACUCAAAGGAAUUGACGGGGGCCCGCACAAGCGGUGGAGCAUGUGGUUUAAUUCGAAGCAACGCGAAGAACCUUACCAGGUCUUGACAUCCCGAUGCUAUUUCUGGAGAUAGAAAGUUACUUCGGUACAUCGGUGACAGGUGGUGCAUGGUUGUCGUCAGCUCGUGUCGUGAGAUGUUGGGUUAAGUCCCGCAACGAGCGCAACCCCUAUUGUUAGUUGCCAUCAUUCAGUUGGGCACUCUAGCGAGACUGCCGGUAAUAAACCGGAGGAAGGUGGGGAUGACGUCAAAUCAUCAUGCCCCUUAUGACCUGGGCUACACACGUGCUACAAUGGUUGGUACAACGAGUUGCGAGUCGGUGACGGCAAGCUAAUCUCUUAAAGCCAAUCUCAGUUCGGAUUGUAGGCUGCAACUCGCCUACAUGAAGUCGGAAUCGCUAGUAAUCGCGGAUCAGCACGCCGCGGUGAAUACGUUCCCGGGCCU